CUAGAGUUAAAACCAAUUUUGGUUGUGGACCAAACCUUCAGACUCUAAG
This 49-nucleotide transfer RNA is filed under the name Xiphinema pachtaicum. Its description in RNAcentral is "tRNA-His". The record is from RNAcentral. Lineage: Eukaryota; Metazoa; Nematoda; Enoplea; Dorylaimida; Longidoridae.